GUCGUUGCUGUCAAAAAGCUUCACAGAUUCGAAGGAGAGAAUCCUAGUUACGACAUGUGCUUCAGGAAUGAAGCAAGGGUUCUCUCUGAGAUACGCCAUCGCCAUAUUGUCAAGCUUUUCGGUUAUUGCCUGCACAAGCGUAAUUGCAAAAACAUUUCUUUAACUUAAAAAGAGUAAUUUAUUGGUAAUAGCAAUACAUGUGUACACAACGACAUUAACACACAACACAUUCGACAAGCAAGACAUCGUUUUCUCAUUACCUUAGUCACAACAAUGAGGAUCACCCCCAUCUACGGCUCGACGACGAUCUUUCCGGUAGCAUGGCCGUCGAUGCUCUUCGCCCAGGCGGCUGCGGCUUCGCUCAACGGGUACUUGCAGUCGAUCACCGUCUUCAGCUUCCCCUGCUUCAUCAGCUCAGCGAGGAACUGCACAUUCUCCGCCUUGACAGAGUUGACGAACGGCACCAGUUGCUUCUUGGAGAACGUGAGCUUCUUCACGGCGAAAGUCCACAUGUGGCUCACCCCCGGCGUGAGCUCGAUCACCUUCCCGCUGGGGCUCAGGUUCGGCUCGAACACCGACCACGGGAAGGACGACGCGCACUGGAUCACCGCGUCGUACUUCUUGCCCGACGGGCUCUUGAGGGCCGCGCCCUCCGGGGUCUUGUAGUCGAGCACCUCGUCUGCCCCGAGGCUCCUCACGAGGUCGAUGUUGCGGGCCCCGCAAGUGGCGGUGACGUGCGCGUUCCCCAGCUUCGCGAGCUGGACGGCGAAGUGGCCGACACCGCCAGAGGCGGCGGUGACGAGGAUGUUCUUCUGGGGGCCGCUGCCGUCGAACUUGAGCCCAGCCGACGUGAGGGCCCCGUGAGCCGUGCAGCCGGCUAUGGGGAAGCUUGCUCCAUCAGCAGCUGAUACUUCAGGAGGCCUUGGAAACGUUACAUCUAUCUUAGCCACUGCAUAUUCUGCCAAACCACCUCCUGUCUGUUUCCAUCAAGAUUCAUGACCACAAUCAAAGAAAAUCCAUACAAAAGAUGCAAGAUAGAGCAAGAAACACCUCCAUCGAUCUAGAUCGAUGUAAAUCUUUAGUAAAUCCGCUAUUCUCACGAAAAGAAAUUUGCAGUGCCGGUCGACAUAUGGCCAAUUAUUUACAACCAUAAUCCAGCACAGAGCUAAACUCUGUCUCCAACAAUUACACCCAACUCGUUAAGUUUUUUAGGUGCAUUGCAGAGUCUUUUGGAAAAUCAAGCACCGCAAACAAUCAAAGGAUCUGCUACUGAGUAUAUAUUACUCCCUCCGUCCACUAAUUCAAGGCCUUCUUUUCUUUUUGGUCCGUCCACCAACUCAAAGCCUAUCUAUUUUUAGUAAAUUUUUAUUCAUAUUUUAAUUGGUGGGUCCCAAUAAACAAUACACUUUUUCUCCACUCAACUAAUAAAUAAUACAAUUUGUGGGUCUCUUUCUCCACUCAACCAAUAAACAAUACUCCCUCCAUCCCAAUAAUGAAGUCUCCUUUGUUUUGGGCACGGGUAUUUAGGAGAGGUAAAAUUGAUGUUAAAUGAGUAGGGACCACAUAAUUAGUGCUUUAAUUAGUGUUAUUUUAUUUCUUAAUUAAAUUGACUAAUCAAGUCUCUACGCCUCUCUCUCUGUACGUGAUUUCUGCGCCGUCGUUCGCCGGCUGUUUCAGCCGCCGGCGAGUCGCCGCCCUUAUUCCUUCUUAGGUCGGCAUCACUUCCCCCUUCCUCUUCACUGUCAUUCUCUCCAUUUCUCAAAAUCGAGCCCAAAUCUCUUCUCUCUCUUCUCGCCGUUCUCUCUUGCAAAACACACACACACAGAUAUCUGGCAGAACACACACACACAGAUCUCUCGCCGUUCUUCUCGCCGUUUCUCUUCUCUCUCUUCUCGCCGUUCUCUCUUGCAAAACUCACACACACAGAUCUUUGGCAGAACACACACAUACAUAAAUGCAUCCUCCACCACAAAAAUCAAAGAUACAUAAAAUUUUCAUCCCAAAAAUCAAAGAUGCAGAGUCCGGACGGACUGUAAGAGAGGCAGCAACGGUUCCGCCUGAAUCAGCAGAGAGCUAGGGCUCAUUCCGAAAGGGGGAAACUCGCCUGUGCAUUUCGGUGAGAGAGUAAGAGGUAGAGUGAGCGACGAUCUCGACGGUCUUUCUGAGAAGAGAGCAGACGACACGAGUCGGCCACUGCUCGCCGGAAAUCGAAAGCAGUAGCGAUGAUUUUGAUGAGAGCGUUAGGGCUCAUUUCGAAAGGGAAAACAAGGGCACGAUAUGAGAAAGGAAUUGGAAUUGAGAGAAAAGAGAGAGAGAAGAGCAGAUGUGGCGGGGAAGCAGCGCCGGUGACCGGCGUGACGGCGACCUCACCGGUCUUCCAGAUGCAGCGGCUUUCUCAAAGGGGAGAGAGGAAUUGAAGAGAGAGUGAGGAGAAUGAAGGCUGCGUGAAAGAAGAAGAGGAGAGAGAGAGAGUAAAUUGUUAAUUCAACUAAUUCUAUAUUAAUUUUUGCCAAAAAGGGAAAGGAAACUUGAAUAUUGGGACGGCCCAAAAAGGAAUAGGAGACUUGAAUAUUAGGACGGAGGGAGUAUAUUUUGUGGGUCUCUUUCUCCACUAAUCUAAUAAAAAUACACUUUUUCUUAAAAUUUGUGUUUUGCCUCUUAGAUCUUGAAUUAGAGGACGGAGGGAGUAUAAUUUUUAAUUAUAUUUUCUUCAAUUUUAAUUUAUUAUGCUUUAAUAUUAUAAAAAGAUAAUUACCAAGAAUUCACACAUCCAAUUAGGGUUUAUAAUUAUUUUUUAUAUUUAUUUGAAUUAACAAUUAAUUAUUUGGGUUCAUUAAUUCAAAGUUAGGGUAUAUAAUUUUUUAAAAUUUCAAUUUUGAUAAAUAUUAAUUAGAGUUCAUAAUAUAAUAAUAUUUUUUAUUUUUAUAAAAAAUAAUUCUAAAAUAAAUAAAUUAAGAGUGAUACACGGUGGUACACACAAAAUAGUGGGACAAAAGAUCCCAUCUGCCAGCACAUACGUCGGUCAAUAUUCAAUAAUGAGCUUUUCGAAAUGGAAAAACGUGUAUUAGAGUGUCUAGAAAAUCAAGUUGUGGAAUAGCUUGUAGUUUGGGUUGGAAAAUGAAUUUAAUGUAAUGGGGCUGUAAUAGCUAGUCACUACCCGAGUAGACUUCUAAGUCCAAGUCAAUUCAAUUAUUAAUAUACUCCACCUAAGUAUAAGAAUAUGGAGUAUGAAAGAAGAAGGAAUCAUAUCCUCACAAAUAAUAAAAAUGAUGGGUUUUGGGAUAAGUAGUCGCAUUUUGAUCAUGGCCAUAGUGUUGAUGAAAGCAGCAGAAGCAAGCAUGAGCAGAGAGAUGCAGGCAUUGAUGAAAUUUGGGUGGCCUCACAACUCCACAACUCAUCACUGCAAUUUGACUGGCAUUACUUGUGAUGAUGCUGCUCAUGUUGCGGCGAUGAGCCUCCAAGUUUGCUCUUAUCCUACUACUCUUCUUAGUUUAAACCAUUUUGAUGUGUUUGCUUUUCCACAUCUCACUAGAAUUCAUCUCACCUCAUGUUGCCUCAAUGGAACCAUCCCACCACAUAUAGGUUACCUCUCCAAACUAACUUAUCUCAAUUUGUCUCACAAUCCUCUAUAUGGUGAAUUGCCUGUGUCACUUGCAAAUCUCACUGAAUUGCAGAUACUUGACAUUUCUGAUAUUAUGGUCAUAUGUCUUAUGGCAUUUAUGGUGUCAUUCCGCCUGAGAUAGGAAGCUUAUCCAAACUAACUCAUCUCGAUUUGUCAUACAAUGAACUCAACAGUGAUCUGCCUCUCUCACUUGCAAAUCUCACUAACUUACAUGUGCUUGACCUUUCUUAUAACAGCAUUGUCGGUGUCAUUCCGCCUGAGAUAGGAAACUUAUCCAAACUAACUCAUCUCGAUUUGUCAUACAAUGGACUCAACAGUGAUCUGCCUUUCUCACUUUCAAAUCUCACUGAAUUGCAGAUACUUGACAUUUUCUCAUAGUCGUCAGUUUUAGACAUAAANGAUAGGUUACCUCUCCAAACUAUCUCAUCUCAAUUUGUCACACAAUCAACUGUACAGUGAAUUGCCUCUGUCACUUGCAAAUCUCACUAACUUACAGGUGCUUGACAUUUCUUAUAACGGUUACAAUUCUGGUGUCAUUCCGCCUGAGAUCGGAAGCUUAUCCAAACUAACUCAUCUCGAUUUGUCACACAAUGGACUCAACACUGAUCUGCCUCUCUCACUUGCAAAUCUCACUAACUUACAGCUGCUCGACCUUUCUCAUAAUAGAAUUGUCGGUGCCAUUCCGCCUGAGAUAGGAAGCUUAUCCAAACUAACUCAUCUCGAUUUGUCAGUCAAUAGACUCUACGGUGAUCUGCCUCUCUCACUUUCAAAUCUCACUAACUUACAGCUGCUUGACAUUUCUGAAAACAACAUUUCCAGUGCCAUUCCGUCGGGAAUAGGUUACCUCCAGCAAUUGAUUGUUCUUGAUUUGAGCCACAACAGCAUCAGUGGCUCUCUGCCCUCAACUAUGCGCCAAUUAACAAGAUUGGAAUUGUUGAAAUUGGACGGCAAUAUGUUGGUAGGUGUUUUUGAGGCAGGAAUACAAAUGCUUCCUUCAAUUAAAACAGUAGACCUCAGUAGGAAUACAAUCGAAGGAAGGAUACCUUUUGAGUUUGGAGAUGCUGCUAAUGCACCGUUCUUGAAUAUCGAUCUGUCUCAUAACCAUCUUUGUGGUAGAGUUCCCGAAUCUCUUUCGCAUUUGGAUGGAAUCGAUCUGUCCUACAAUCGUUUAGAAGGUCGAAUUCCACUAGACAUCUGGCGUAAAUUUCCAGAGGAAUCGUUCUUCGGAAAUUCAGAGUUACGUCAUUAUCCAAAUGAAGCCAAACAUCCUCGAAAUGCUGUUAUUGCUGUGGUGAUACUAUUUGGAUGUGUGUUUUUGUUUUCAUCAGGUUUGAUUCUAACCUUUUACUUAAGAAGGAAAGCAGCCUCUGCAGUCACACCUCAUGAUGACCAGAGACAUGGAGACAUAUUCAAGAUAUGGAACUUCGAUGGAAACAUCGCCCAUCAACACAUCAUCCAAGCAACAGCAGACUUCGAUUUCGGGUACUGCAUCGGAACUGGAGCUUACGGGAGCGUCUACAGAGCUCAACUGCCAACUGGAAAAGUCGUUGCUGUCAAAAAGCUUCACAGAUUCGAAGGAGAGAAUCCUAGUUACGACAUGUGUUUCAGGAAUGAGGCAAGGGUGCUCUCUGAGAUUCGCCAUCGCCAUAUUGUCAAGCUUUUCGGUUAUUGCCUGCACAAGCGGAGCAUGUUCCUCAUCUACGACUACAUGGAAAGAGGAAGCCUGUUUAGUGUGUUGAAGGACGAGAGCGAAGCCGUGGAGUUAGAUUGGAAGAAGAGGGUGAAUGUGGUGAAGGGCAUUGCAAAUGCAC
Molecule: long non-coding RNA, 5433 nt
Filed under: Salvia miltiorrhiza (redroot sage)
Lineage: Eukaryota; Viridiplantae; Streptophyta; Magnoliopsida; Lamiales; Lamiaceae
Description: long non-coding RNA (SMIL_LNC002110)
Source: RNAcentral